GUGAUGUCACAGUUACUUGGAUUACUGGAGGUAAUUCUUAGAGCUAAUACAUGCAACAAAACCCGACUCACGGAGGGUUGCUUUUAUUAUAUCAAAACCAAACGGCUUCUGCUGUCUCCCUUGUGGCCAUUGAAAAUAUUGGGCCUGAUAGCAUGGCCUUGUGGCCCCGCUAUUUUUCCUUCAACUUUCCCACCUAUCCUGUUCAACUGUGAAAGGUAUGAUCACUGCUUACUUGACUGAUAACGGGUAAUCGGGAUUCUUCCCCCGAGGGGGACUAAAAAACACGGCCACCAUCUACGGAAGGCGCAGGGGGCACCAAUUACCCAAUGUGCCCAAGCCCCGGUGUUGUGAAAAAAAACCAAUAUUGGACACUCCCGAGACCCCCUAUUUGUGGUAAGUGCACUUUUUAACCUUUCCCCCGAAUAUCUAGGAGGGGGUGUCUGGUA
RNAcentral lists this ribosomal RNA (446 nucleotides) under uncultured marine eukaryote. RNAcentral describes it as "partial 18S ribosomal RNA". It matches the Rfam family "Eukaryotic small subunit ribosomal RNA", at positions 123 to 566 of the family's 1831-position model. The record is from RNAcentral.